GGGGUUGUGGCUCAGUGGUAGAGCGCUUACCUAGCAUGCAUGAGGCACUGGGUUUAAUCCCCAGCACCA
RNAcentral lists this transfer RNA (69 nucleotides) under Ictidomys tridecemlineatus (thirteen-lined ground squirrel). RNAcentral describes it as "Spermophilus tridecemlineatus (thirteen-lined ground squirrel) tRNA". It matches the Rfam family "tRNA". Rfam says of the family: Transfer RNA (tRNA) molecules are approximately 80 nucleotides in length. Their secondary structure includes four short double-helical elements and three loops (D, anti-codon, and T loops). Further hydrogen bonds mediate the characteristic L-shaped molecular structure. tRNAs have two regions of fundamental functional importance: the anti-codon, which is responsible for specific mRNA codon recognition, and the 3' end, to which the tRNAs corresponding amino acid is attached (by aminoacyl-tRNA synthetases). tRNAs cope with the degeneracy of the genetic code in two manners: having more than one tRNA (with a specific anti-codon) for a particular amino acid; and 'wobble' base-pairing, i.e. permitting non-standard base-pairing at the 3rd anti-codon position. Lineage: Eukaryota; Metazoa; Chordata; Mammalia; Rodentia; Sciuridae. The record is from Rfam by way of RNAcentral.